GACGAACGCUGGCGGCGUGCUUAACACAUGCAAGUCGAACGGGCCCGCCCCUGUUUUUGGGGGUGGGUUGAGUGGCGAACGGGUGAGUAUCACGUGAGUAACCUGCCCCCUGCUCCUGGAUAACUGCUUGAAAGGGCGGCUAAUACGGGGUGUGCCGGCUGGUCCGCAUGGGCCUGGUCGGGAUAGUUUCAUCUUCGGGUGUUUCGGUGGGGGAUGGGCUCGCGGCCUAUCAGCUUGUUGGUGGGGUGAUGGCCCACCAAGGCGGUGACGGGUAGCCGGCCGGGGAGGGUGGGCGGCCACACUGGGACUGGGCCACGGCCCAGACUCCUGCGGGAGGCAGCAGGGGGGGGUAUUGGCCAAUGGGCGGAAGCCUGAUGCAGCGACGUCGCGUGAGGGAUGGAGGCCUUCGGGUUGUGAACCUCUUUCUCCGGUGGUGAAGGCCCUGUCCGUUGCGGCGGGGUUGACGGUAGCCGGGUAUGAAGCGCCGGCUAACUACG
This 497-nucleotide ribosomal RNA is filed under the name uncultured bacterium. RNAcentral describes it as "partial 16S ribosomal RNA". It matches the Rfam family "Bacterial small subunit ribosomal RNA", at positions 28 to 505 of the family's 1533-position model. The record is from RNAcentral.